RNAcentral lists this transfer RNA (73 nucleotides) under Ovis aries (sheep). It matches the Rfam family "tRNA". Rfam says of the family: Transfer RNA (tRNA) molecules are approximately 80 nucleotides in length. Their secondary structure includes four short double-helical elements and three loops (D, anti-codon, and T loops). Lineage: Eukaryota; Metazoa; Chordata; Mammalia; Artiodactyla; Bovidae. The record is from Rfam by way of RNAcentral.
UCCCUGGUGGUCCAGUAGCUAAGACUCUGCACUCCCAAUGCAGGGGGCCUGGGAUCAAUUCCUGGUCAAGGAA